Long non-coding RNA from Clupea harengus (Atlantic herring), 790 nucleotides. RefSeq lists it as uncharacterized. The record is from RefSeq and is a predicted model, not a curated record. NCBI's taxonomy places the organism in Eukaryota, Metazoa, Chordata, Actinopteri, Clupeiformes, Clupeidae.
CAUCAUAAACACUUCGCUCUCCCUUCCACAGGGGUUCCUGACACCUGGCACCAUGGGAUCAACACACAGAUGAACUCAUAACACCACAAACCACGGCUCUGGUGGCAUCUAGAGCAGGGGGCCACGGUGACUGUCUUUUCCACCGCUGAGUCAAGUCAUCUGUCAGGAAAACACCCAGAUGCCCAAAAUGGUGACACGGGGGACCUUGAAGUCUGCAAUGAACAAGGACUGACUGUCCAUCAGUGGCUGAACAAGUGAAGUUGCAAGUGCUGCAAAGCCCGGUUUAAUUUGUGUGGAUUCCAAACGUAGCCUGGAGGCUAAAUAGGUAUUAAAGAACGAAAUGCCAACAUGGAUCAUAACAUGGAUCAACACUAAUGAACUCAAUUAACUAAAUUAAUUCAUUGUAGAAAUUCAUCACAUAGUGUCCUUUUUUUCACGCCAUACUGUACGAAUAAUGAUCUAUCCCUGCACACCAUAAGUCAUUUAGUGUAUUACAUAUAAGACAUACAAGGUAUGAGACAAGAAUUAACAAUAAUAUAAUUAAGGUCACUAAUGUGGCACUGUUAUUCAAUAUCUGUUUAUUGAAUGUUAUCAUCAAAGCUAAUGGAACCUGGCAGUUUGUCCACCAGAGGGCACAAGGCAACACACUUGUUUCCUAGGUUACGAAUAUAAGUUGACCACUGUAGUAACGUUACAAUGGAGUCUGACGUGUGUCUUCAUGGUAGGGUGUUCAUUUUCACAUGAUAAGCAUUACUUCAAUAAUAGUAAAGUUCUUCUUUAAGCCUCAAAA